This 370-nucleotide ribosomal RNA is filed under the name uncultured organism. RNAcentral describes it as "bacterial SSU rRNA". It matches the Rfam family "Bacterial small subunit ribosomal RNA", at positions 526 to 896 of the family's 1533-position model. The record is from RNAcentral.
CGAACUGUGCGAACGUUAUUCGGAAUCACUGGGCUUAAAGGGUGCGUAGGCGGUUAUCUAAGUCAGGUGUGAAAUCUCUCGGCUCAACCGGGAAACUGCGCUUGAAACUGGGUGACUGGAGGGAUGCAGGGGUGUGUGGAACUUCCGGUGGAGCGGUGAAAUGUGUAGAUAUCGGAAGGAACGCCAGCAGCGAAAGCGGCACACUGGGCAUUUACUGACGCUGAGGCACGAAAGCUAGGGGAGUGAACGGGAUUAGAUACCCCGGUAAUCCUAGCCGUAAACACUGAGCACUGGAGGAGGGAGGUUUCGGCCUUCUUUCUCGUAGCGAAAGCGUUAAGUGCUCCGCCUGGGGAGUAUGGUCGCAAGGCUG